RNAcentral lists this ribosomal RNA (513 nucleotides) under uncultured bacterium. RNAcentral describes it as "partial 16S ribosomal RNA". It matches the Rfam family "Bacterial small subunit ribosomal RNA", at positions 28 to 523 of the family's 1533-position model. The record is from RNAcentral.
GAUGAACGCUGGCGGCGUGCCUAAUACAUGCAAGUCGAGCGAACAGAUAAGGAGCUUGCUCCUUUGAAGUUAGCGGCGGACGGGUGAGUAACACGUGGGUAACCUACCUAUAAGACUGGGAUAACUUCGGGAAACCGGAGCUAAUACCGGAUAACAUUUAGAACCGCAUGGUUCUAAAGUGAAAGAUGGUUUUGCUAUCACUUAUAGAUGGACCCGCGCCGUAUUAGCUAGUUGGUAAGGUAACGGCUUACCAAGGCGACGAUACGUAGCCGACCUGAGAGGGUGAUCGGCCACACUGGAACUGAGACACGGUCCAGACUCCUACGGGAGGCAGCAGUAGGGAAUCUUCCGCAAUGGGCGAAAGCCUGACGGAGCAACGCCGCGUGAGUGAUGAAGGGUUUCGGCUCGUAAAACUCUGUUAUUAGGGAAGAACAAAUGUGUAAGUAACUGUGCACAUCUUGACGGUACCUAAUCAGAAAGCCACGGCUAACUACGUGCCAGCCGCCGCGGUAA